Molecule: ribosomal RNA, 460 nt
Filed under: uncultured bacterium
Lineage: Bacteria
Description: partial 16S ribosomal RNA
Rfam family: Bacterial small subunit ribosomal RNA
Source: RNAcentral
CCUACGGGAGGCAGCAGUGAGGAAUAUUGGUCAAUGGACGGAAGCCUGAACCAGCCAUGCCGCGUGCAGGAAGACGGCUCUAUGAGUUGUAAACUGCUUUUGUACAAGGGUAAACCUGAAUACGUGUAUUUAGCUGAAUGUACUGUACGAAUACGGAUCGGCUAACUCCGUGCCAGCAGCCGCGGUAAUACGGAGGAUCCAAGCGUUAUCCGGAUUUAUUGGGUUUAACGGGGGCGUAGGCGGAUUGAUAAGUUAGAGGUGAAAUGUCCGAGCUUAACUCGGGAACUGCCGCUAAUACUGGCGAUCUAGAGAGUAGAUGCGGUAGGCGGAAUGUAUGGUGUAGCGGUGAAAUGCUUAGAGAUCAUACAGAACACCGAUUGCGAAGGCAGCUUACCAAUCUAUAUCUGACGUUGAGGCACGAAAGCGUGGGGAGCAAACAGGAUUAGAUACCCCAGUAGUC